This 253-nucleotide ribosomal RNA is filed under the name uncultured bacterium. Its description in RNAcentral is "partial 16S ribosomal RNA". It matches the Rfam family "Bacterial small subunit ribosomal RNA", at positions 524 to 776 of the family's 1533-position model. The record is from RNAcentral.
UACGAAGGGGGCGAGCGUUGUUCGGAUUUACUGGGCGUAAAGGGCGCGUAGGCGGCCCUUCAAGUCAGGCGUGAAAGCCCCGGGCUCAACCUGGGAGGUGCGCUUGGGACUGGAGGGCUGGAGUUCGGGAGAGGAGCGUGGAAUUCCCAGUGUAGAGGUGAAAUUCGUAGAUAUUGGGAAGAACACCGGUGGCGAAGGCGGCAUCCUGGACCGGUAUUGACGCUGAGGCGCGAAAGCUAGGGGAGCAAACGGG